RNAcentral lists this ribosomal RNA (460 nucleotides) under uncultured bacterium. RNAcentral describes it as "partial 16S ribosomal RNA". It matches the Rfam family "Bacterial small subunit ribosomal RNA", at positions 338 to 795 of the family's 1533-position model. The record is from RNAcentral.
CCUACGGGAGGCAGCAGUGGGGAAUAUUGGGCAAUGGGCGCAAGCCUGACCCAGCAACGCCGCGUGAAGGAUUAAGGCCCUGCGGGUCGUAAACCUCUUUUGCCGGGGAGCAGAGGUCCGGACGUGUCCGGGCCGGGAGAGUACCCGGAGAAAAAGCAUCGGCUAACUCCGUGCCAGCAGCCGCGGUAAUACGGAGGAUGCGAGCGUUAUCCGGAUUUAUUGGGUUUAAAGGGUGCGUAGGCGGGCAUUUAAGCCGGCGGUGAAAUGUCGGGGCUCAACCCCGGCCUGCCGUCGGAACGGGGUGCCGUGAGUGGGCGAGAAGUAUGCGGAAUGCGUGGUGGAGCGGUGAAAUGCAUAGAUAUCACGCAGAACCCCGAUUGCGAAGGCAGCAUACCGGCGCCCUACUGACGCUGAGGCACGAAAGUGCGGGUAUCGAACAGGAUUAGAUACCCCUGUAGUC